CCUACGGGAGGCAGCAGUGGGGAAUUUUGGACAAUGGGGGCAACCCUGAUCCAGCCAUUCCGCGUGAGUGAAGAAGGCCUUCGGGUUGUAAAGCUCUUUCGCAAGGGAAGAAAACUUAUGAUCGAAUAAAUCAUGAGGUUGACGGUACCUUGAUAAGAAGCACCGGCUAACUACGUGCCAGCAGCCGCGGUAAUACGUAGGGUGCGAGCGUUAAUCGGAAUUACUGGGCGUAAAGCGUGCGCAGGCGGUUUUGUAAGUCGGAUGUGAAAUCCCCGGGCUCAACCUGGGAACUGCGUUCGAAACUGCAAGGCUAGAGUGUGUCAGAGGGGGGUAGAAUUCCACGUGUAGCAGUGAAAUGCGUAGAGAUGUGGAGGAACACCAAUGGCGAAGGCAGCCCCCUGGGAUAACACUGACGCUCAUGCACGAAAGCGUGGGGAGCAAACAGGAUUAGAUACCCUGGUAGUCCACGCCCUAAACGAUGUCAACUAGUUGUUGGUAGAGUAAAAUCUAUGAGUAACGUAGCUAACGCGUGAAGUUGACCGCCUGGGGAGUACGGUCGCAAGAUUAAAACUCAAAGGAAUUGACGG
RNAcentral lists this ribosomal RNA (587 nucleotides) under uncultured bacterium. RNAcentral describes it as "bacterial SSU rRNA". It matches the Rfam family "Bacterial small subunit ribosomal RNA", at positions 338 to 916 of the family's 1533-position model. The record is from RNAcentral.